Molecule: long non-coding RNA, 929 nt
Organism: Macrobrachium nipponense
Lineage: Eukaryota; Metazoa; Arthropoda; Malacostraca; Decapoda; Palaemonidae
Exons: 3
Source: RefSeq, a predicted model, not a curated record
AGACAUCGACGAAGCACCACGGGAUAGGACGAGUGCAACCCCCAGGCGACCUGCAGGAACUCCGUCGGGAGUUACAGCUGCUCCUGCAACCCACCUUUCGAGGGAGAUGGACGAACUUGUGAGUUCCCUUGCGAAAGCCAGGCCAAGUACUUCGAGGGUCUGGAAUGCGUGAAGCUUGUGAGGGAAAAGAAGACCUUUGAGGAGAUGAACGCCACCUGCCACCAGGCACAUGGCCGACUCCUUCAAGACUUCUCCAUUGAACGUUUACAGGAAGUUGGUUGGGCUUUUCGUUUUGGUUGGCUAGGCGUCCAAGAAGGGAAAUGGCUGGAGAGCGGACUCCCUCUACAAGAGGAGCUUUGGAAGGAAGGUUCUCGGGGAUCAGACCCUUCCAGGAGGAGGGGGCUUUGUGGCGUCAGUGAUUGGGAUUCUUCUUCGUCUUUGUACAAAGUGGUUCAAUUUGAUUGUUCAGAAAGGUGGUAUGGUUUCUGCCAGUUUUUAAUCCCACAGAAGUAGUCAGUCAACAUGAGGCUGAUCUUCUGUGUGAGGAGGAGGACGCAGAAUAAUAAUAAUAAUAAUAAUAAUAAUAAUAAUAAUAAUAAUAAUAAUAAUAAUAAUAAUAAUAAUAAUAAUAAUAAAUCAAUAAUCCUUCCUUGUCUGACAACAAAUUAUCGUAUGUUAUAAUAUUAAGUCAUUUAGACUCUGUUGCUUUUCAUUGAUGAUGUUCUUCUGUGUAAACCUCCUCUGAGGAUAUACUGAUCAUGAUAAUAAUUGAUAAUACUUUAUUGCUUUGCAAAGGUUAGUUAACAUAUAGAUAACCAUAACCUUUCAUUACACACUUAUUAUUAUAGGAAAUGUUUGGCAUAAAACAGAAUUGUUAUAAUUCUCUUCAAUGUGACAUUUCAACAAUAUACUAUGUUUAUUCAGCAGCA